Molecule: ribosomal RNA, 468 nt
Filed under: uncultured bacterium
Lineage: Bacteria
Description: partial 16S ribosomal RNA
Rfam family: Bacterial small subunit ribosomal RNA
Source: RNAcentral
GACGAACGCUGGCGGCGUGCUUAACACAUGCAAGUCGAACGGAAAGGCCCUGCUUUUGUGGGGUGCUCGAGUGGCGAACGGGUGAGUAACACGUGAGUAACCUGCCCUUGACUUUGGGAUAACUUUAGGAAACUGGGGCUAAUACCGGAUAGGAGCUCCUGCUGCAUGGUGGGGGUUGGAAAGUUUCGGCGGUUGGGGAUGGACUUGCGGCUUAUCAGCUUGUUGGUGGGGUAGUGGCUUACCAAGGCUUUGACGGGUAGCCGGCCUGAGAAGGUGACCAGCCUCAUUAGGACUAAGAUACGGCGCAGACUCCUACAUGAGGCAGCAGUGGGGAGUCUUGCACAGUGGGCGGAAGCCUGAUGCAGCAGCGCCGCGUGCGGAAUAUCGGCCUUCGGGUUGUAAACCGCUUUCGACUGUGACGAAGCGUGCGUGACGGUAAUGGAUAAAGAAGCACCGGCUAACUACGUG